Molecule: ribosomal RNA, 465 nt
Filed under: uncultured bacterium
Lineage: Bacteria
Description: partial 16S ribosomal RNA
Rfam family: Bacterial small subunit ribosomal RNA
Source: RNAcentral
GACGAACGCUGGCGGCGUGCUUAACACAUGCAAGUCGAACGGAAAGGCCCUGCUUGCCGGGUACUCGAGUGGCGAACGGGUGAGUAACACGUGGGUGAUCUGCCCUGCACUUCGGGAUAAGCUUGGGAAACUGGGUCUAAUACCGGGUAGGAGCCAUCUUUAGUGUGGUGGUUGGAAAGUUUUUUCGGUGUAGGAUGAGCUCGCGGCCUAUCAGCUUGUUGGUGGGGUAAUGGCCUACCAAGGCGGCGACGGGUAGCCGGCCUGAGAGGGUGUACGGCCACAUUGGGACUGAGAUACGGCCCAGACUCCUACGGGAGGCAGCAGUGGGGAAUAUUGCACAAGGGGCGCAAGCCUGAUGCAGCGACGCCGCGUGGGGGAUGAAGGCCUUCGGGUUGUAAACUCCUUUCGCUAGGGACGAAGCUUUUUGUGACGGUACCUAGAGAAGAAGCACCGGCUAACUACGUG